RNAcentral lists this ribosomal RNA (315 nucleotides) under Triticum aestivum (bread wheat). RNAcentral's name for it is "partial small subunit ribosomal RNA". Lineage: Eukaryota; Viridiplantae; Streptophyta; Magnoliopsida; Poales; Poaceae. The record is from RNAcentral.
AUGAUUAGGUGUUUUUUUUGGUUCAGUCAUGUUGAGUGCUUUUUUCUCAGUUUUCUUCUCAGCAUAUGUCUCUAUUACUGUGUUGUUCUUUUCAUUCCCAAAGACUGCCUUAGCAGCACAAAGUACACAUUUUUUUUCAGCCCUCGAGCUGCAGCUCACAUGGUUUGUUCCAAGAAGAGAGACAAUAGUGUCCAUACUGUACUACUAUUUCCAAUUGUGCUUGGCCUGAAUCGGUGCCCUCCUUUUUGGUGGUGCUGGUGUGAUGAUUUGUUGAAGCCAAAAUGGCUAGUAGUAUCUCAUACUGAAGCUUAUUAA